Molecule: ribosomal RNA, 254 nt
Filed under: uncultured bacterium
Lineage: Bacteria
Description: partial 16S ribosomal RNA
Rfam family: Bacterial small subunit ribosomal RNA
Source: RNAcentral
CACGUAGGGGGCAAGCGUUGCUCGGAAUCACUGGGCGUAAAGCGCACGUAGGCGGACUCUUAAGUCGGUGGUGAAAUCCUGGAGCUCAACUCCAGAACUGCCUUCGAUACUGGGAGUCUUCGAGUCCGGGAGAGGUGAGUGGAACUGCGAGUGUAGAGGUGAAAUUCGUAGAUAUUCGCAAGAACACCAGUGGCGAAGGCGGCUCACUGGUCCGAUACUGACGCUGAGGUGCGAAAGCGUGGGGAGCAAACAGG